GUGGGGAAUAUUGGACAAUGGGGGGAACCCUGAUCCAGCCAUGCCGCGUGUGUGAAGAAGGCCUUUUGGUUGUAAAGCACUUUAAGCGAGGAGGAGGCUACCGAAAUUAAUACUCUUGGAUAGUGGACGUUACUCGCAGAAUAAGCACCGGCUAACUCUGUGCCAGCAGCCGCGGUAAUACAGAGGGUGCAAGCGUUAAUCGGAUUUACUGGGCGUAAAGCGCGCGUAGGUGGCCAAUUAAGUCAAAUGUGAAAUCCCCGAGCUUAACUUGGGAAUUGCAUUCGAUACUGGUUGGCUAGAGUAUGGGAGAGGAUGGUAGAAUUCCAGGUGUAGCGGUGAAAUGCGUAGAGAUCUGGAGGAAUACCGAUGGCGAAGGCAGCCAUCUGGCCUAAUACUGACACUGAGGUGCGAAAGCGUGGGGAGCAAACAGGAUUAGAUACCCCUGUAGUCC
Molecule: ribosomal RNA, 451 nt
Filed under: uncultured bacterium
Lineage: Bacteria
Description: partial 16S ribosomal RNA
Rfam family: Bacterial small subunit ribosomal RNA
Source: RNAcentral